Non-coding RNA from Camelina sativa (false flax), 772 nucleotides. The record is from RefSeq and is a predicted model, not a curated record. Lineage: Eukaryota; Viridiplantae; Streptophyta; Magnoliopsida; Brassicales; Brassicaceae.
GCGAAAGUGGUGUUUGCGGCCGACAAUGUAUAAAAAACAAUUUCGACCCUUAUAAUUUGUUGUUGUUUUGUGGUCCAGUGGUAGUACUUGAUAUGAGAAACUUGUUUCUAAGUUUACCAUCGGGUUCGAAAUUCACCACCAAUCUCCUAAUUUAGGUGUUUUAGAUACUCUGAGGAUCGAUAGUGUGUCAUCAUCUGAUUGGCUGGAAGACAAAAAACACAAACAAAUUCUUUUAUUUCGGUUCCCGUUACGCUAUCUCUCUCUUUUUUCUCUUUCUCUCUCUCAACCGUGACAAACGAACGGCGAAAGGCCGGAGACCGUCGAAUUUAGAGGAGAAACGGUGGGAAACUCGUCUAUCACCGUCUCUAUCAUGAUCUCCACCGACGGUGGCACUACGGCGAAUUCGGUUCAUCAAUUCAGAAGCAUAUAGGCCACAUCUCCGAUUGUUUGGUUCAAGAAUCUCUCUGUUUCUCUUGAUGGGAAGCUUCUAUUAAGGUGAAUCGGAGGAGCGAAUUGAGAGAUGGAUGGUAGAGAAGGCUCGUUCGUAGCUGUCAGGAGGAUUUCUCAGGGUCUCGAACGAGGAACUGUUUACAAUCCAUCAUCUCUAACUGAGGCUGUGCCAUCAACAGCUUGGUUAGGCAGGGGGUCUAUCCUGUGUCUGUGCUCAGAGAAGAGAUAGUGACGCAAAUUCCACGUUUGAUCUCUAACACCUGCUCAGGAGGAAUGCUUGCAAAGUUUGCAGAGCCGCAUUGACGUAGGCUAAUGAUAGUAC